UACGGAGGAUGCGAGCGUUAUCCGGAUUUAUUGGGUUUAGAGGGUGCGUAGGCGGUCCGGAAAGUCAGCGGUAAAAGCCCGGGGCUCAACCCCGGCGAGCCGUUGAAACUGUCGGACUAGAGACGGCGAGAAGUACGCGGAAUGCGCGGUGUAGCGGUGAAAUGCAUAGAUAUCGCGCAGAACUCCGAUUGCGAAGGCAGCGUACCGGCGCCGGACUGACGCUGAGGCACGAAAGCGUGGGUAUCGAACAGG
This 252-nucleotide ribosomal RNA is filed under the name uncultured bacterium. RNAcentral describes it as "partial 16S ribosomal RNA". It matches the Rfam family "Bacterial small subunit ribosomal RNA", at positions 524 to 776 of the family's 1533-position model. The record is from RNAcentral.